Molecule: small nuclear RNA, 105 nt
Organism: Mastomys coucha (southern multimammate mouse)
Lineage: Eukaryota; Metazoa; Chordata; Mammalia; Rodentia; Muridae
Source: RefSeq, a predicted model, not a curated record
GUGCUCAUAGCAGCAGCAAAUGUGCCAAAACGGAAAAUAGACAGGAGAUUAGCAUGGUCCCUGUGCAGGGAUGACGUGAUAAUUCACAAAGCAAUCUAUCUCUUC